GGUAAUCAAAUCUACUAUUGUGUCAAACAGGUCACAGUGCUUCACCUGAGAACCUAUUGACCUAUAACCCAGACGUCUACGUGACUUCCUCUCACAUGUUCGUCUGUCUGUAUGUUAUGUAUGCUGAGGUCUAAAUAACCUCACAGUGCGGCCUCGUUAUACAAGGCUUAGCACAAGCAUUGGUGGCAGCUUACCGGGUAGACGCCAUCGGAAUACAACAUAGCUGGCUUCCCAGACUCGGACUAUUCCACAUCAUCUGAAGACUGACGAAAUGUAACAUAUCAGAAGUCAACGAAGGCGAGAGAAUCUUCAAGCAACUUCGAAUCUCUUAUGGCAACGUAAGAAACGUCUCUCAUUAAUAAUCAUUUGAGAGGGUGCAUCAUCAUUACUGAGCGUCUCCAGCACUUCAAGAAACAAACCGGAUGUGUCUGCAGCAUCGGAUCACCAUGAAUAAGGCAACGGGAAACGAAUCAUUCAACAAACAAACACCGCACGAGCAAUAUGCAAACUGAGAAUUCGGGUCACUGCGGGAAAGCAACAUCGGAAACCAAGGCCGUGACGUCACCUAAACAGCAAGAUCUUCCUCUUAUAUACCGAAGCUAAGUACAAUUCUUUAUUCAUUCUGGUGUGUGACUUUGAGUGUGAUCCUUACACAAGAUCGAUCGUCCAUUAUUCCCGGGGGUUUCCAACAUGAAGCUUAUAUUGUUCGGAUUGGUACUGUUUGUUCAAACAUUCUUGUCGUGUGGGAAGAGUGCUAAAACAAAAAAUAUACAUUUUACACAUGGCUCUAUAAUUGAAAGAACAGAGGACGUUUUCAUUACAGCAAGCAAUAUAGCUCUAGAAGUUGAUUUGUGAGUGAUUUUCUUGCCAGAAGAUGAUGUCAUUAACCUAAAAAGCAACUUGUCGAGGUUUGCCGAAUAAAUGAAUCAAGUACAUCAACGUCAUUUUCCUUUUAAUCCAGAGAUUUCGCUAGCACAAACUUUAAGUGUUGCAGAAAUGUUAUCAUUCGACUUGCAAAACAAAACUGCUGAAGCAGAAUGUUUGGCUCGUGAUCUGCUUAUGUGGACCGUGAGACACAGUAGCCUAGAAAGAUGUAACCCGUUUAUAUUUGUGGCGCUCAACGUCUUUGGGUCUGUUGCAAGUUUAGGUUUAGGAAUUUCAAAUCGCCUUAAGAUUAAUGAUCAGAAUAAGAGAAUUGAAUUUUUGCAACAUGAAAAUGAAUUAGUUUUUUCUGAACUUCGUAAACAAUUAUCAUCAAUUAAUCAACUUAUGACAUUGGUGAACGAACAUUCCAGUAAUAUCAAUCAGAUGAUGAAUGUGCAACACUUGCUGGCAACAUUAGCAUAUUACAGUUCUAAGGUAGACCAUAUCCGUACAAAAAUUUCACAUUUUAUUGAAAAAUCAAAAGACUAUGUGGAAGCUAUCACGCUAGCUACAAAGGGUGUUCUGUCGCCACGUCUUUUGCCUAUCAAAGAUUUAACAUUAACUUUAGAGAACGAACGAGAGAAACUUGGUUAUAUUAUAUGCCUUUUUUAGAUGCACAUAAGAUAGAAUUUUAUUACUAGCUUAAUAUCAGUAAGUAUUGAGAAUUACAGGAUCAUGAUUACCAUUCCUAUUAAUUCUUCUGAUGCCUGGCAAUCUUACAAACUUGCACCGUUUCCAACUUUCAUGACGAAUAACUCAUUACCAGUAAUAUCUAAUCUGACAGCACACGUAUUGAUUUCCCCUAAUAAGGAAACAUUUACGGUUAUCAGAGACCUGGAUAGGUUCACUCACUGUUCAGAUGCCAUGGGUAAUAAAGUUUGUACAGCUGACUCCUUUGAAUUUCACCAUAUAUCAGGUGAUUCAUGCGAGUUAGGUCUAGUGCUAAACAGCUCUCUCUCUCACACACGUGAACGAUGUCUGAAACAACUUUACCCUUUUGAUGAGUAUAAGUUCGCUUACAGGCUGAAUAACGGAUCGUGAAUCGUGAUACGAUACAACAGAGCAGGGUUUCACGUCGCUUGCCCGGACGGACCAACGGCCUCUUCGCGGAUGUUCAUCGCUGUGGACGGCUGCAGUGGAGUCACACCCAACUACACGGUCCGUGGAGUAAGCACCAUCAUAAGGGAACGAGUUUACUUUGUGAAUUUUUCUUGGUGGUUGAGUACCAUUAUCCCAGCUUUACCCCUUCCAUACAACGCGAAAGUGGGCCAUCAACUAUCCAAACUGUCUGGUAUGGACCGCACUUCAAGGGGUUACCCUGUCGACGAGGAUCUACGGUUCUAUACACUGCUGGCUGUAACAUGCGUGUUGGUGGUGGUUCUGGUCACCGCUAAUGUAUUUGCUUGGCGUAGGUUGAGGCAAACAAGAAUGGAUCAUCAACAGAACAUCGUACCCCGUCCUGACACUUACCCAUUAGCCCUUAAGGCAUUUGACUUUAGAGCCACUUGAAACUGGCCAUUUCAUUUGACUCAGGGGGAAGUUGUUUGGAAUUGUGUUUUGUGUGAAAAGCGGUUUGAACGCUGGCUAAAUGUGUAACAGGAACCUCCGUGACAUUGCAUUCCAUAUGUAAAGUAUGAGAAGCUUAAUUAUCAUUUAUCAUUCAAUAUAUCUGGUAGCGCACCUAAUAUAAUCAAUUGAAGUUCUACAAUGAAUCAAUAUGUCUGUGCGUGUACGCACCAGGAAUCUAUAUGAUGUGCACACUUAUCUGAAUCUAUUUUUAUAUUAAUCAGGUAGCAACUAUUCUUAAACAGUUACCAAUUAUCUUAUUUGAAUCAUUAUAUACAUGUAUAUGCUAAUCAGGUAGCACCUAUUCUUAAUCAGUUACCGUUUAUCUUAUCACAUUUUUGGUACCAUUUUAUUUCUUAACCAUAUAUGAUUUUUAGAAUGUAAUUCUUGUGUCAUGUAAUCAUCAGCUGUAUGUUAGUACUUUCUGUUGAAUAUAUAUUCUCAUGAGUAACAGUAUAUAACUAUCAUUAUGUAUGACAUGUUAUCUUUAAUAUUAGCAUGAUAUCAUAUGCAUUUAUCUUGUAUCUUCCAUGUAUUAUUCAUUACUUAUGAGUAUUUCUAUAUAUCUGGUUAUUUUUAUAUAAUCAGUUGCGUAUCAUUCCUUAACCACUUGUUGGUAACUAUGGGUUAACUAUAUAUUCCCAUUAAUUUCUCUAUCACACUCCUUUGAGUCAUAUGCAAGUCAAACUUUAAUGUUCAGUGUUUAGCUGACUGAGCAAUCAAUGUAAGGGUUACUUUUAGAAAUACAUAUUCCAUAUGUAUAAAUAAACUAAUGACCUAAGAGGUCACUGUUGAGAUAACAAGGAGUGUGAUAAGAGUUGAUAAACAGGACGCAAGCUAGGCUUGAUGUAUUGAAUCAGCAGCGCCCUGGUUUGCAUUUGCCUGUGGUAAUCAAAUCUACUAUUGUGUCAAACAGGUCACAGUGCUUCACCUGAGAACCUAUUGACCUAUAACCCAGACAUCUAUGUGACUUCCUCUCACAUGUUCGUCUGUCUGUAUGUUAUGUAUGCCGAGCUAAGCUGUGCUCUUGUAUACCUUUGUAAAUGCAUUGUAACUUAGAACUCUACUUUCCCUCCUAGAAUCAGGUUCUCCUAACCACCUUCUUGCCUUCUACUCAAGAGAUGUAGUUUUGCAAAUAUACCGUUGUUAAGUUAUCAUCAUGAGUUUGAAACAUCUCCGCCUUUAUACCCAAAGAAGAUACUGACUUGGAAAUUAUCGUCGCAAUCUCAGACGAGAAUGGGAAGUAUACCACACGAUAAUUGCGUAUAACAUCGCAGGUCUAAAUAACCUCACAGUGCGGCCUCGUUAUACAAGGCUUAGCACAUAUGAUAUUUCAUCA
Molecule: long non-coding RNA, 3829 nt
Organism: Macrobrachium nipponense
Lineage: Eukaryota; Metazoa; Arthropoda; Malacostraca; Decapoda; Palaemonidae
Exons: 3
Source: RefSeq, a predicted model, not a curated record